AACGAACGCUGGCGGCAUGCCUAACACAUGCAAGUCGAACGAGACCUUCGGGUCUAGUGGCGCACGGGUGCGUAACGCGUGGGAAUCUGCCCUUGGGUUCGGAAUAACAGCGAGAAAUUGCUGCUAAUACCGGAUGAUGACGUAAGUCCAAAGAUUUAUCGCCCAAGGAUGAGCCCGCGUAGGAUUAGCUAGUUGGUGAGGUAAAGGCUCACCAAGGCGACGAUCCUUAGCUGGUCUGAGAGGAUGAUCAGCCACACUGGGACUGAGACACGGCCCAGACUCCUACGGGAGGCAGCAGUGGGGAAUAUUGGACAAU
This 316-nucleotide ribosomal RNA is filed under the name uncultured bacterium. Its description in RNAcentral is "bacterial SSU rRNA". It matches the Rfam family "Bacterial small subunit ribosomal RNA", at positions 29 to 372 of the family's 1533-position model. The record is from RNAcentral.